Molecule: ribosomal RNA, 240 nt
Filed under: uncultured bacterium
Lineage: Bacteria
Description: partial 16S ribosomal RNA
Rfam family: Bacterial small subunit ribosomal RNA
Source: RNAcentral
AUACGAAGGGGGCUAGCGUUGCUCGGAAUGACUGGGCGUAAAGGGCGUGUAGGCGGUUUGUACAGUCAGAUGUGAAAUCCCCGGGCUUAACCUGGGAGCUGCCUUUGAGACGUAUUGACUAGAGUGUGAGAGAGGGUUGUGGAAUUCCCAGUGUAGAGGUGAAAUUCGUAGAUAUUGGGAAGAACACCGGUGGCGAAGGCGGCAACCUGGCUCAUGACUGACGCUGAGGCGCGAAAGCGU